GCUUACGGCCAUACCACCCUGAGCAAGCCCGAUCUCGUCCGAUCUCGGAAGCUAAGCAGAGUCGGGCCUGGUUAGUACUUGGAUGGGUGACCGCCUGGGAAUACCAGGUGCUGUAAGCUU
This 120-nucleotide ribosomal RNA is filed under the name Lepomis gibbosus (pumpkinseed sunfish). Lineage: Eukaryota; Metazoa; Chordata; Actinopteri; Centrarchiformes; Centrarchidae. The record is from RNAcentral.